UGGACGAACGCUGGCGGCACGCCUAACACAUGCAAGUCGAACGGACUUAAACGGAGCUUGCUCUGUUUAAGUUAGUGGCGGACGGGUGAGUAACACGUGAGCAACCUGCCUUUCUGGAGGGGGAUAACGUUUGGAAACGAACGCUAAUACCGCAUAACAUAUAUUUAUCGCAUGAUAGAUAUAUCAAAGGAGCAAUCCGCAGAAAGAUGGGCUCGCGUCUGAUUAGCUAGUUGGUGAGGUAAUGGCUCACCAAGGCAACGAUCAGUAGCCGGACUGAGAGGUUGAACGGCCACAUUGGGACUGAGACACGGCCCAGACUCCUACGGGAGGCAGCAGUGGGGAAUAUUGCACAAUGGGGGAAACCCUGAUGCAGCGAUGCCGCGUGGAGGAAGAAGGUUUUCGGAUUGUAAACUCCUGUCUUCAGGGACGAUAAUGACGGUACCUGAGGAGGAAGCACCGGCUAACUACGUG
RNAcentral lists this ribosomal RNA (471 nucleotides) under uncultured bacterium. RNAcentral describes it as "bacterial SSU rRNA". It matches the Rfam family "Bacterial small subunit ribosomal RNA", at positions 27 to 507 of the family's 1533-position model. The record is from RNAcentral.